GAUGAACGCUAGCGGGAGGCCUAACACAUGCAAGCCGAGCGGUAGAGAUUCUUCGGGAUCUUGAGAGCGGCGUACGGGUGCGGAACACGUGUGCAACCUGCCUUUAUCAGGGGGAUAGCCUUUCGAAAGGAAGAUUAAUACCCCAUAAUAUAUUGAUUGGCAUCAAUUAAUAUUGAAAACUCCGGUGGAUAGAGAUGGGCACGCGCAAGAUUAGAUAGUUGGUAGGGUAACGGCCUACCAAGUCAAUGAUCUUUAGGGGGCCUGAGAGGGUGAUCCCCCACACUGGUACUGAGACACGGACCAGACUCCUACGGGAGGCAGCAGUGAGGAAUAUUGGACAAUGGGUGAGAGCCUGAUCCAGCCAUCCCGCGUGAAGGACGACGGCCCUAUGGGUUGUAAACUUCUUUUGUAUAGGGAUAAACCUUUCCACGUGUGGAAAGUUGAAGGUACUAUACGAAUAAGCACCGGCUAACUCCGUGCCAGCAGCCGCCGUAA
Molecule: ribosomal RNA, 495 nt
Filed under: uncultured bacterium
Lineage: Bacteria
Description: partial 16S ribosomal RNA
Rfam family: Bacterial small subunit ribosomal RNA
Source: RNAcentral